UGGGGAAUAUUGGACAAUGGGGGCAACCCUGAUCCAGCCAUGCCGCGUGUGUGAAGAAGGCCUUUUGGUUGUAAAGCACUUUAAGCAGGGAGGAGAGGCUAAUGGUUAAUACCCAUUAGAUUAGACGUUACCUGCAGAAUAAGCACCGGCUAACUCUGUGCCAGCAGCCGCGGUAAUACAGAGGGUGCGAGCGUUAAUCGGAAUUACUGGGCGUAAAGCGAGUGUAGGUGGCUCAUUAAGUCACAUGUGAAAUCCCCGGGCUUAACCUGGGAACUGCAUGUGAUACUGGUGGUGCUAGAAUAUGUGAGAGGGAAGUAGAAUUCCCAGGUGUAGCGGUGAAAUGCGUAGAGAUCUGGAGGAAUACCGAUGGCGAAGGCAGCUUCCUGGCAUAAUAUUGACACUGAGAUUCGAAAGCGUGGGUAGCAAAACAGGAUUAGAUACCCUGGUAGUCCACGCCGUAAACGAUGUCUACUAGCCGUUGGGGUCCUUGAGACUUUAGUGGCGCAGUUAACGCG
This 515-nucleotide ribosomal RNA is filed under the name uncultured bacterium. RNAcentral's name for it is "partial 16S ribosomal RNA". It matches the Rfam family "Bacterial small subunit ribosomal RNA", at positions 355 to 859 of the family's 1533-position model. The record is from RNAcentral.